CAGGUUUUGUUGGCCGACGGGUGAGUAUGCGUAGGAUCUACCUAGUAGUACGGAAUAGCCAUUAGAAAUGGUGGGUAAUACUGUAUAAUCCCCGAGGGGGAAAGAUUUAUCGCUAUUAGAUGAGCCUACGUUAGAUUAGCUAGUUGGUGAGGUAAUGGCUUACCAAGGCUAUGAUCUAUAGCUGGUCUGAGAGGACGAUCAGCCACACUGGAACUGAGAUACGGUCCAGACUCCUACGGGAGGCAGCAGUGGGGAAUAUUGGACAAUGGGCGAAAGCCUGAUCCAGCUAUGCCGCGUGAGUGAAGAAGGCCUUCGGGUUGUAAAACUCUUUCAAUAGGGAAGAUAAUGACGGUAACCUAUGAAAUUUUUUCCCCUAAUUGCCCUUAAUUUACCAAUUUAACUAAAAAAUUUAAUAAAUUUUUAAAUUACGGCCUUUGUUUUUUCCAAUCUUCCAAAUUUUUUCAAAAUUUUAAAUUUUUUUACUUAUUGUAGGGGGGGCAAAAAUUUUUCCAAAAUCAAUUUUUUUAAAAAUUUAAUUGAAAAAAAUUAACCUUUAUUGAAAUUUUACUACUUUUUAAUUCAACAUGUUAAACUUUAAAUUUUAAAAACUCAUAAAACUCUUAACCACAUUUUAAAUUUCUAAAAUGUAUUUUUAAACGGCUUAAUUUAACUCUAAAUUGAUAAAUUUAUUCAUUAUUUUAUAAUUUCACACACUUAAUUUGAACUCAUUUUUCACAUAAUUGUUAAAUUAAUAUACAUUUUUAAAAUUUUGCAACAUUUGUUCAAUCUUUUUAAAUUUUAAUUUUUUUCAAUUUUAUUACUUUAUCAGUUUUGUUUAAAAUCUGUCACUGAAUUGCAAUUGACAUGUUUACUUUUUUUUACACACUCAUCUUAUGGCGAUGCACCCUCUUUUGACAAUUUAAUUUGAUCGACUUUCUUUUUAUCAACUUUUCUGUGUUCAAAUUUUUGAAAUUUUGUGACCACAUUAUACGCAUGUCUGCCAUAUGUUGUGCUAUGCUGUAAACCCGAGGUUUGAUCGUAUGCCAUUGUUCUUAGCUCUGCAACUUGACAUUUUGUUUUUGCUGUAAAUUUUAGCCAUAUUUUGUGCCUACUUUAUUUUGUACAACCCACCGUGUUUGUGUUCACAACUUGUUAUCGUCUGUUGGCGGCACACUGCGUGCGGGUGACAAACUGCUGUGACACGUCUCGCAUGGUCACGUAUG
RNAcentral lists this ribosomal RNA (1223 nucleotides) under Ehrlichia canis. RNAcentral's name for it is "partial 16S ribosomal RNA". The stretch from base 1 to 435 matches the Rfam family "Bacterial small subunit ribosomal RNA", at positions 86 to 542 of the family's 1533-position model. The record is from RNAcentral. Lineage: Bacteria; Pseudomonadati; Pseudomonadota; Alphaproteobacteria; Rickettsiales; Anaplasmataceae.